CAGUGCCACGGUAAUACGUAGGUCCCGAGCGUUGUCCGGAUUUAUUGGGCGUAAAGCGAGCGCAGGCGGUUAGAUAAGUCUGAAGUUAAAGGCUGUGGCUUAACCAUAGUACGCUUUGGAAACUGUUUAACUUGAGUGCAAGAGGGGAGAGUGGAAUUCCAUGUGUAGCGGUGAAAUGCGUAGAUAUAUGGAGGAACACCGGUGGCGAAAGCGGCUCUCUGGCUUGUAACUGACGCUGAGGCUCGAAAGCGUGGGGAGCAAACAGGAUUAGAUACCCGGGUAGUCCCUGUCUCUUAUACAC
This 301-nucleotide ribosomal RNA is filed under the name uncultured bacterium. RNAcentral describes it as "partial 16S ribosomal RNA". It matches the Rfam family "Bacterial small subunit ribosomal RNA", at positions 509 to 809 of the family's 1533-position model. The record is from RNAcentral.